RNAcentral lists this unclassified non-coding RNA (256 nucleotides) under plant metagenome. Its description in RNAcentral is "partial contains small subunit ribosomal RNA, internal transcribed spacer 1, and 5.8S ribosomal RNA". The stretch from base 1 to 55 matches the Rfam family "Eukaryotic small subunit ribosomal RNA", at positions 1778 to 1831 of the family's 1831-position model. The record is from RNAcentral.
GGAAGUGAAAGUCGUAACAAGGGUUUCCGUAGGUGAACCUGCGGAAGGAUCAUUAUUGGAUUUUGAAACUUCAGGCUGCUGCUGGCUCUCCUCGGAGGGCAUGUGCACGCUUGUUGUCCAUUAUUUCUCCCACUGUGCACAAAUUGUAGACCUUUCAGUAGGCCUAUGUUGUUUUUCACAAUCUCUGAAUGUAAUAGAAUGGUUUUGAAUCUUGGGAAAUACAAUACAACUUUCAGCAACGGAUCUCUUGGCUCUC